AGAGUUUGAUUAUGGCUCAGGACGAACGCUGGCGGUGCGCCUUAUGCAUGCAAGUCGAGCGAAGCUUUUCAGUAGUUUACUACAGAAAAUGACUGAGCGGCGAACGGGUGAGUAACGCGUGAGCAAUCUACCUUAGUUACAGGGAUAGCCCGAGGAAACUCGGAUUAAUACCUGAUAUUCUUUAUUUCUCGCAUGAGAAUAAAAGGAAAGGUCAGCCGAACUAAGAUGAGCUCGCGUUCUAUCAGCUUGUUGGUGAGGUAAAAGCUUACCAAGGCUACGACGGAUAGCUGGUCUGAGAGGACGAUCAGCCACACUGGGACUGAGACACGGCCCAGACUCCUACGGGAGGCUGCAGCAGGGAAUAUUGUGCAAUGAACGAAAGUUUGACACAGCGACACCGCGUGUGGGAUGACGGAUCUAGGUUUGUAAACCACUUUCAGGAGGGAAGAAAAUGACGGUACCUCCACAAGAAGCCCCGGCCAACUACGUGCCAGCAGCCGCGGUAAUAC
RNAcentral lists this ribosomal RNA (509 nucleotides) under uncultured bacterium. RNAcentral's name for it is "bacterial SSU rRNA". It matches the Rfam family "Bacterial small subunit ribosomal RNA", at positions 8 to 526 of the family's 1533-position model. The record is from RNAcentral.